CAUGCAUGCUUCCUAAAAUUUUUCUACAUCCACAUCUGGUGGACCAUCAAAGAAGCAUACCACCAUACUAUAGUCACUGAAGAGCAACUGCAAUGAAGACCUAUACCCAGAUCUGAACCUCCCCUAUGUAGCAAUCAAGCGACAGAGAAUCAAGAGGAUGUGCAGCCCAAUACUACUAUCCCUCCUAUUCAUGUUGUAGACAUAAGAUCCUCAAAUUCAAUCCCAACUGGAUCAUCAAUACUGUGGUGCUAUAAUUGCGGUG
This 262-nucleotide long non-coding RNA is filed under the name Elaeis guineensis (African oil palm). RNAcentral's name for it is "long non-coding RNA (EGUI_LNC035942)". Lineage: Eukaryota; Viridiplantae; Streptophyta; Magnoliopsida; Arecales; Arecaceae. The record is from RNAcentral.